UAGGGAAUCUUCGGCAAUGGACGAAAGUCUGACCGAGCAACGCCGCGUGAGUGAAGAAGGUUUUCGGAUCGUAAAACUCUGUUGUUAGAGAAGAACAAGGACGUUAGUAACUGAACGUCCCCUGACGGUAUCUAACCAGAAAGCUACGGCUAACUACGUGCCAGCAGCCGCGGUAAUACGUAGGUGGCAAGCGUUGUCCGGAUUUAUUGGGCGUAAAGCGAGCGCAGGCGGUUUCUUAAGUCUGAUGUGAAAGCCCCCGGCUCAACCGGGGAGGGUCAUUGGAAACUGGGAGACUUGAGUGCAGAAGAGGAGAGUGGAAUUCCAUGUGUAGCGGUGAAAUGCGUAGAUAUAUGGAGGAACACCAGUGGCGAAGGCGGCUCUCUGGUCUGUAACUGACGCUGAGGAUCGAAAGCGUGGGGAGCAAACAGG
This 429-nucleotide ribosomal RNA is filed under the name Gemmatimonadota bacterium. RNAcentral describes it as "Gemmatimonadetes bacterium partial 16S ribosomal RNA". It matches the Rfam family "Bacterial small subunit ribosomal RNA", at positions 355 to 776 of the family's 1533-position model. The record is from RNAcentral. Lineage: Bacteria; Pseudomonadati; Gemmatimonadota.